GACGAACGCUGGCGGCGUGCCUAAUACAUGCAAGUCGAGCGAAGUUUUUCUGGUGCUUGCACUAGAAAAACUUAGCGGCGAGCGGGUGAGUAACACGUAAAGAACCUGCCUCAUAGACUGGGACAACUAUUGGAAACGAUAGCUAAUACCGGAUAACAGUAUUUCUCGCAAGGGAGAGAUUUAAAAGUUGGUUAUGGUAACAAUAUGAGAUGGCUUUGCGGUGCAUUAGCUAGUUGGUGGGGUAAAGGCCCACCAAGGCGACGAUGCAUAGCCGACCUGAGAGGGUGAUCGGCCACACUGGGACUGAGACACGGCCCAGACUCCUACGGGAGGCAGCAGUAGGGAAUCUUCCGCAAUGGGCGAAAGCCUGACGGAGCAACGCCGCGUGAGUGAAGAAGGAUUUCGGUUCGUAAAGCUCUGUUGUUAGGGAAGAAUGGAUAUGUAGUAACUAUACAUGUAAGAGACGGUACCUAACCAGAAAGCCACGGCUAACUACGUG
RNAcentral lists this ribosomal RNA (499 nucleotides) under uncultured bacterium. RNAcentral describes it as "partial 16S ribosomal RNA". It matches the Rfam family "Bacterial small subunit ribosomal RNA", at positions 28 to 507 of the family's 1533-position model. The record is from RNAcentral.